UAAAAACUUCACCAAAUCACUUCAAAUCAAGAAAUAAAUCACACAUUCCAUCACUCAAGUCACCAUUAGGCACAAAAUAAGCAUCAUUAGCUAUAAGAGGAUGUUCAAUCAUCACUUACCUAGUAAACAAGAGAAGAGAAGUUGUAGACCACCUUAGCUCUUCCAAAAACUUCACCAAACUCACCACUAACACUAAAUGGAAAGAUUGUAUGGAGUGGAAACUAGUUUGUGUGAUUGAUUUGGAUGAUUUGAGCUAGUGGAAAGCUUGAAGAUUGAAGAAGUUUUCUUCCUUCUUGGCAAGAGAGAGGGCCGGCCACAAGGUGAAAGAAAAUGGUGAUUUUUUGUGAAAUUUUUAGAUAUUUAACCAAUUUUGGUCAAAAGUCAAAAAAAGUGAAUAGUGUUCUUAAGUCAAAACCAAUCACCAAGUGACACGUGGCACUUCAUUAAUGCAUUCCUAUCCUUUCUUUUCUCUCUCACAUCAAUCAUUUCACACACUCUACUUAUCUCUUAACACCCGAUAAAUUUUACACAGUAUCCGAAACUUAACCUUUUUGGCCGAAUUUUUUCGAACUUUUCGCACUAGUGGGGCCCACGUCCAUUAUAUAUCCGUAAUUUUUCAAAAACUACCCAAUGCUAGAAAAAUCAUCUAAAAACUAUAAUAACGCAUAAAAUCCACCAAGAAAAUUUUCCUAAGCCAGAAAAUGCAGAAAACAUGCCAUUAAAGGGGAAAAACCCUAGGAAAAACAUUAAGGGAAAAUACGGGUUCUCACACUCUCUCCCCCUUAAAAGAAUGUCGUCCUCGACAUUCUAACUCCUAUAUAAAGCCGGUCAAGAUAUCGCUCAGAAACCAAUCAAGCAGUAGAAUUCCAUCUACUCCAACUCGUAUUCACCAGGUCCAAUUUGUUUUUCCCAAAGUCAGUCAAAUACUAAGAAACAUUCUAAUCUUACUUAUCACAAUUCAUGAUCUUGUAAAUCACUUAUCAAAUUCAAGUACUAAGUAUCACGCCAAUCCAACUUAUCAAAUAGUCAUGGUCCAGUGGUCCAGUGGUCCAGUAGGGAGUUAAUCGCGUAACCAGAUAAAACAGGCAAAAGGCUUGAAAUCGGACGUAAUGUCCCAGAUAUUUGGAAGACAUUCAGGGUAUAGCGAAGCUUGAAAUCAAAAUUCAUCCCUGGUGGUGCUGGACAACACAACAAGCUAGCACAACGGCUAAACUUCGCCAGAGAGCCUCCGUUCAAGUAUUUCAUCCCUGGUGGUGUUGGACAACACAACAGGCAUGCCUCGCCAGAAGAAUGGCGGUGCUGGACAACACAACAGGCAAUGCCCCACCAAAGAGGUUCAGUUCAACCGCUACAGAAAAGUAGUAGCCGGUCUACAACCACAUGAGUACGAAGAAGUUCAAGAGUAGGGUCAAAUAUUACAAGUUCAGGGAGCAUGAACACAAAGAAGAGUACAAGUUCAAGUUCAAGGAUCAUGAGUACAGGUAAGAACACACUGGCCUAACCUCUGUCCAGCAAUUCACAUUCGUAAAUAGUCAUAAAAUUCAAGUCCACCUACAGGUCACAUACCAUAUAUUCAGUGAAAUUAGGUCCAUUAAGAGUACGUAUGAACACACUCGCCUAACAGGGUCACGUCUCAAGGAAGUUCAGUCUAGUCGGUCUCAGGCAGCUCAAGAUCAAUCUCAGGUAGUUCGAGGUCAGUCCCAAGUAGUUCAAGUAGAGCAAAUUCCAACACUUACCAAUCAGGUGGUGCAAAAGUCUAUAGAUCCACACCUAUCGUGUGCGUAAUACUCCAACUAGAAACAAAAUAAAAACACAAAACAAAUACACGAAAAGCACGCAAAAGCGUAGGUACCAAAAGAUACGACUCGAAUAUAUACAUUUAUUUACAAAACCACACCAAAAGAUAUACAAAGUACCCGACCUCCAGUCGGUACAAAACCCAUUAUGCACACGAGCACUCCGGCUCCAAAAAGCUAGUCAGUCCACCAAAUAACCAAAGAAAUUAGCCAUGCCAGUCCUAGCAAAAGUAAUCUACCAGCUACUCAUAAUACAAAAGCAACCCUAAUCACCUCCCCUAGGGCCCCGGUUCCCAACGGAACCUAAAGUAUCUAUCUCGCCGCUCUGGACCAGUAGCUCGUGGUGGUGCCUCCGCGGCCAUGUCUAGUAAAACCCCACAGUCAAACGUAAUACUCCGGGCCCUCUCCCUAAGCUGCAUCCUCAUAGCGAAGAGGUGCUGGUGUGUGUGUCGAAGAUCCCGCUCCAGGUCCCUAACGCGCAACGCCUGCCAACGGCUAAACUCUCUAGCCUCCUCCAGCUGCGCCCUCAAAGUCUCAACUGUCCUGCCUAGGUGAUAACGCUCGUCAUCCAUCGCUAAAACAACCUCGUCAGGAUAGCCAUAGGUAUACCAGCACUCACAGGGUCGGCGCGACACCUGUCCAAAAGGGGAAUACAAACUAUAAGGCUCCCCAAGCCUCCUCCGAUAGCGGAUCGCCCGCUUACGCAGCACCCGGUCCUCUGGGCCCCUCGCACUCGGAGGUCUCGGUCCCGGUCCCAUGCCGCUAGAACUGCCCGGAUCCAUACCUACAAACAUUAAUUCGUUAGUUAACUGACAUUUCAACUUAAAAUAUAUCAUUCAUCUUAAAGAGAAUAAUGUAUCCCUAAGGCCUAUCACGUAUGUCCCACAAUUGCCCAAGUCCUCUAACCUAGGCGCUCUUAUUUCGUUCGUAUCCGGGCCCAAGAAUCCCAUCCAAGAUAAUUCACAACUCGAGCCGGCCGGUCCCAAGCGUAAAUCAUCCUUAUUAAAGAUUCCUACCCGACAUACAUACUUAACUUCCUCAUGUCCCAUGUUAAUGAUCCUUACACUAAUGACAUGCACAGUUCAUAGCUUACGCUCAAAAGAGCACUUAUACCUUUAAACACUUUCACCAAAAGCAGGACCAUAACAUCCCUUGGCCCAGUCUCACUCCGCGCAGAGACCACGCGACGUGGCUCUGAUACCAACUGUAACAGCCCCACUUUCCCCUAAGGCGAACCAAAGGGGUUAGCGGACUGCCUGCCCAGCUCUCGCCAGGACUACGGAUCAGUUCACGUCGAUCUAAUACGUUUCCGGAACAUACCCACGCGCGUAAACAUAUCAAAAUCACAAAAUAAAAAAAAAUGAAAAUCGAAGCCGAUGAUGAACAGUACCGGCCAUGUCCGAAUCCGGAUACUAGGCCGGAAGUAGCCAAAUUUUUCUUUUGCCGUUUGAAAUACAAGUUAAUCCGAAACCCAACCAAAUGUCAACCAAACAUAUAUACAGUGAAAUGUAACAUUUACAAGCCAAAAGCCAAAGCGGCAUAUCAAAACGAUUCAUCAUGGAUAUACAUGAUCGGUUAGCCAAUCACAAGAAAUUGAACCCAAUACACAUUAGGGUUUCAUGCAAGGAGCUAGUCAAAAUAGACAUAUACAUGGCUCAAUUUGGCAACCAACAAGUAUGAGCUUCCAAAAGUGAUUAUUUUCCUGUAAGGAAAACAAAUGGAAUGGUGUGAGCUAAAGCUCAGUGAGCAACUAUCACACAAUCAACCAAGAUCACUUAAGCAUAAUCGUUCAUUGCAAAUAUUCAAAUAAGAAGCAAAAACAAAUCGGUAAAAGGAUACGGACGGCUCUCAAGAGCCCAUUUCCACGCUUACAUUCUUGAUCCAAUCUCAUUGACUCUCCGUCAACGUUUAUGAGUACCAACCGUAGAACCCACUUCACUCCCAUUCCUUCCACCAAACAUACCCCAACCGGGCCCGCACUCCAAUCAGUAGCUUUUGGUAAUACUCGAGUAUACCGGAACCAAGAGUCUCAUUACUACAAGAUUCCCCAGUACAGUCCCCGUGGCAUGUCAAUUUUCACGACCAAGCCCUCGCCGGCUCGAUUCAUUUGACUACCUACGGGGUUGAGCUCAGUAGUACAGUAAGGCCGUUGGAUAUUCGUCCAAACGACACCAAAUCAGUUUUCCAUGAAUGGAAUUCAUUAUCUCAUGUAGCAAGUGCAGUAUUUCAGUAAAACGGUAAUCAGUCAUUAACGGUAUCACAAGGGGUGAGGGCGGUCAAGUACACCCUCACCUCAAUCAAUUCCAAUAGCCAAAUAAGCCUUCAAGGCAUCACAAUCACAUAUAGCAAAGCCACAUUGUAACAUUCAAGUGAGUAGUAUACUCACCAAUUCAGUAAGUGAGGUUUCAUGCACCGCCGUCCAAAGUACGUCGCAGUUCGCACAUUCUGAUCACCCAGAACAGCAACAGUAAAAACAACAUAUCUCACUCUACACUACUCCAAAUGACCUGAAAUUUUUUAGGCACUUCAACACUCAUCAAUACCUACAACUUUUAUGUUUUGAGCAAAGUCCAAUUCGGCCUCUAACCCAAUGAUCCAAAACCGGACAGAAUUAGGGGUUAUCAACCCUAACUUUUCUCAUUUCAAUCCAAACCCAAAAUUGAUUGCAAUUAUCAAUAAUUCACACCUACUAGAGUCAUUAUAAGCCAUUGCCAAUCAUCAAAAAUAGCCACAACAUCCCAUUCAUAUUAAACCAGAAAAUUCCUCAAUAAAAUAAAAACUUCACCAAAUCACUUCAAAUCAAGAAAUAAAUCACACAUUCCAUCACUCAAGUCACCAUUAGGCACAAAAUAAGCAUCAUUAGCUAUAAGAGGAUGUUCAAUCAUCACUUACCUAGUAAACAAGAGAAGAGGAGUUGUAGACCACCUUAGCUCUUCCAAAAACUUCACCAAACUCACCACUAACACUAAAUGGAAAGAUUGUAUGGAGUGGAAACUAGUUUGUGUGAUUGAUUUGGAUGAUUUGAGCUAGUGGAAAGCUUGAAGAUUGAAGAAGUUUUCUUCCUUCUUG
This 4865-nucleotide long non-coding RNA is filed under the name Coffea arabica (coffee). Its description in RNAcentral is "long non-coding RNA (CARA_LNC000560)". Lineage: Eukaryota; Viridiplantae; Streptophyta; Magnoliopsida; Gentianales; Rubiaceae. The record is from RNAcentral.